Molecule: ribosomal RNA, 312 nt
Filed under: Brycinus opisthotaenia
Lineage: Eukaryota; Metazoa; Chordata; Actinopteri; Characiformes; Alestidae
Description: partial 12S ribosomal RNA
Rfam family: Bacterial small subunit ribosomal RNA
Source: RNAcentral
UCCGCCAGGGUACUACGAGCGCUAGCUUAAAACCCAAAGGACUUGACGGUGUCUCAACCCCACCUAGAGGAGCCUGUUCUAGAACCGAUAAUCCUCGUUUAACCUCACCAUCUCUUGCCCCCCCCCCGCCUAUAUACCGCCGUCGCAAGCUUACCCUAUGAAGGCCCCACAGUAAGCAAAAUGGGCAUGACCCAAAACGUCAGGUCGAGGUGUAGCUCACGAGAUGGAAAGAAAUGGGCUACAUUUUCUACUAUAGAAUAUCACGAAUCACACUAUGAAACUGGUGUUUAAAGGUGAAUUUAGCAGUAAAAA